This 490-nucleotide unclassified non-coding RNA is filed under the name Hevea brasiliensis (rubber tree). The record is from RNAcentral. Lineage: Eukaryota; Viridiplantae; Streptophyta; Magnoliopsida; Malpighiales; Euphorbiaceae.
GCCCACCGCACCUACAUCGCCCCAAUGACCCCCGACCUCGUCGAACAAAUCCUUGCCAAAGAGCGUCCCGACGCCCUCCUCCCCACCAUGGGCGGACAGACUGCUCUCAACCUCGCCGUCGCUCUCUCCGAAUCCGGCGCCCUCGCCCGCUACAACGUUGAGCUCAUCGGCGCCACCCUCCCUGCCAUUCGUGCCGCCGAAGACCGCAACCUCUUCAAGCAAGCCAUGUCUCGCAUCGGCCUCAAGACCCCUCCCUCCGGUAUCGGCAACACCCUCGAAGAAUGCCUCUCCAUCGCCUCCUCCAUCGGCGAGUUCCCCCUCAUCAUCCGCCCGGCCUUCACCCUCGGCGGCACCGGCGGUGGCAUCGCGUACAACCUCCCCGAAUUCAUUGAGAAGUGUAACCAGGGGCUCGCUGCCAGUCUCACCUCCCAGGUGCUCGUCGAAAAGUCACUCAUCGGCUGGAAGGAGUACGAGCUCGAGGUUAUGAGGG